This is a long non-coding RNA of Gallus gallus (chicken), 1618 nucleotides long. The record is from Ensembl. Lineage: Eukaryota; Metazoa; Chordata; Aves; Galliformes; Phasianidae.
AUUUUAAAUACUUUAAUCCUGCCAGCUGUUUACCUGCAGGGGCUAGAGAGAUUUACAUUUUGCCUCAGUGCAUAAUUUAGUUUUUGGGGAAUGAGGGUAGGCAAGGUUCCUUUCUUUUGAAGCGUCAGACAAUGGCUGCAGAAUGUGAGGGUAUUUUGGGGCAGAAUUUAUGGCUUUUUUUUUUUUUUGAUAUUGCAGAAAAACCUUUCUUGGCCCUCCUCAAUGGUUUAGGAAGAUCCUGACUGUCAGGGUGUAUCAAGUUAAGUGCAACAUGAAGAAUGAGGCAAUAUGAAGAAAAAUCAUACGUACAGCAGUCCCAAAUCUCCAAGAAAGCACUUCAGUUGAAGAAAUAGUUAAUUUGAUUAGUCAUGAAGAGGCCUGCUCUGAUGGACUGCAGCUAUUCCUGUGGAAAGCAGACUGAAGUUCCAUGUGCUCUGCGACUGAGACAGCAAAGGUCAUUCAAGUGCACAGAUGUGGGAUGUUCAGCAUACUGGCCAAAAAGAAAUUCCAAACUCCAGAAAACGUAGCACCAGGAUGGAAUACAUAUAACCACAUCACUAGAAGAAUGACUGUGAGUCUUUAAGGCAGUGCCUAUGGAAAAGAAUAAAAGGCCCAACAGGCGCCGGUAAGAACUGGAUUUUUGUUUCUGUGACACCAUUUGUUUUCUAUUAUGGAUAUUUGCGUCUUAGGUUAACAUUCCUCUGAGAUAAGACCUCAUACCUGAUAACAUUCAUCCCCAGGCCAGGCCACAGAUCUAUGUCCCUGGCACCAUACAACUAUUUCUGUCUGAAAUCCAAAGUACUCCCAAGAACCACAUCACUUUAUCUUUCUCUCUUUCCUUUUUCUUUCUUUCUUUCUUUUUCUUUUUCUUUCUUUUUUUUUAAUAGAGAUCUGGUCAGAAAAAAAUUGCUAGGAAGAGAAAAAUGGAUCACGAUCCUAGAAAGAGACCCUGAGCACGUAUGAAAGACCAUAUGGUAAUGAUCAAAGUUGAGGAAAAACAAAAAGCUGCCUUCCACCUGCAAAACAGAAUUGUCUGAAGAUAGUGAAAUGGGAAUGCUUUGAAGAUAAGCCAUCAUGCACUGUGGGAAAAGGAGGCAAGAAGUGAAACCUGGUUUUGAGACAAUUUCCUAAGGUGCACUCUGUGAUUGGUGAGCGGGGGAGCCAGGUGCUGAUUAUUUUCUACUCUGUUCUAACAUGUAAAAGUCAGCAGAAGUGCUAAUUGCAUUUGUUACCUGCUUUUCCUCAUAACCUUCCUUCCUGUGGAUAGAAAGCAGACAGAGGAGAAACUGAACAUGAUCCCAGCUCUUUCUUUGGAAAAAAGUACUUCAGGUAGUCACUCAUCCCCCCUUCAGGAUUCCUUUAUUGCCUUCAGUGGUCUUCUCCUGGUGCGCUUCAAGAAGAUAAAGGCUUAAGUUCAAACAUGGGCUCUGCAGUUUCUCCCUCCUAUGUUUCUCGAUCAGUCUGAAAUCUGAAGGCAGGCACUGAUGGAAAUUGAGGAUGCUAUUUUUGAGGUCACAGCAAGAGAAACUGAAGAGCUAAUUCCACUCUACAGACUUGCUCCGUAUGAAAGAUACUCCUACUUGGAAGAAUGCUGUUGCCUCUCUAUACUGAAGGGGCU